CUCCAUUACUAAUCCCUGGAUCUACCGCAUCCCCUAAUCAGCCGCGCGGAAUUCCUCCCAAAAUUUCUCUCACAUGCAUUUCCACCAAGAUCGCCGUCAACGGGACUGCUCCUUCAUCUUUGUUUGCGCUACCCACCAUGUGCAGUUGCAGGUGCGACAUCCUCUUGUUUUGUUCUUCUUGGUUGGUGCUUUCACGGGUUACCAAGAGGCUGAAUCGGCCGUCGUAGUAGCACCAGCCGGCUGGAGAACAAGCAGUGCCCUAUGUCAACCUCAGCCAUGCUUCCUGUUUCUACACAAUGUCAAAGAGGCUAUGUUGGUGACAAGUGAUGGGAAUAGGACCUGCUACAGCUAUACGUCGAUGACUAUUGUGUUGGCCACAAGGAGCUUCUCGCGUGUAUUGUGUUUAUGACUGAUCAACCCAUUUAGUGCGACGUCGGUUGUGCAGAAGCAGAAUUUCGGUGUAAUAUUGUUUAAUUUUUAUUAAAUAUA
This is a long non-coding RNA of Hordeum vulgare subsp. vulgare (domesticated barley), 489 nucleotides long. RefSeq lists it as uncharacterized. The record is from RefSeq and is a predicted model, not a curated record. Lineage: Eukaryota; Viridiplantae; Streptophyta; Magnoliopsida; Poales; Poaceae. The transcript is spliced from 3 exons.